Molecule: ribosomal RNA, 478 nt
Filed under: [Pseudomonas] sp. PDA
Lineage: Bacteria; Pseudomonadati; Pseudomonadota; Gammaproteobacteria; Pseudomonadales; Pseudomonadaceae
Description: bacterial SSU rRNA
Rfam family: Bacterial small subunit ribosomal RNA
Source: RNAcentral
UUAGAGUUUGAUCCUGGCUCAGAUUGAACGCUGGCGGCAGGCCUAACACAUGCAAGUCGAGCGGAUGAGUGGAGCUUGCUCCAUGAUUCAGCGGCGGACGGGUGAGUAAUGCCUAGGAAUCUGCCUGGUAGUGGGGGACAACGUUUCGAAAGGAACGCUAAUACCGCAUACGUCCUACGGGAGAAAGUGGGGGAUCUUCGGACCUCACGCUAUCAGAUGAGCCUAGGUCGGAUUAGCUAGUUGGUGAGGUAAAGGCUCACCAAGGCGACGAUCCGUAACUGGUCUGAGAGGAUGAUCAGUCACACUGGAACUGAGACACGGUCCAGACUCCUACGGGAGGCAGCAGUGGGGAAUAUUGGACAAUGGGCGAAAGCCUGAUCCAGCCAUGCCGCGUGUGUGAAGAAGGUCUUCGGAUUGUAAAGCACUUUAAGUUGGGAGGAAGGGCAGUAAGUUAAUACCUUGCUGUUUUGACGUUACC